UAGGGAAUCUUCCGCAAUGGGCGAAAGCUUGACGGAGCAACGCCGCGUGAGUGAUGAAGGUCUUCGGAUCGUAAAACUCUGUUAUUAGGGAAGAACAAAUGUGUAAGUAACUAUGCACGUCUUGACGGUACCUAAUCAGAAAGCCACGGCUAACUACGUGCCAGCAGCCGCGGUAAUACGUAGGUGGCAAGCGUUAUCCGGAAUUAUUGGGCGUAAAGCGAGCGCAGGCGGUCAAUUAAGUCUGAUGUGAAAGCCCCCGGCUCAACCGGGGAGGGUCAUUGGAAACUGGUUGACUUGAGUGCAGAAGAGGAGAGUGGAAUUCCAUGUGUAGCGGUGAAAUGCGUAGAUAUAUGGAGGAACACCAGUGGCGAAGGCGACUCUCUGGUCUGUAACUGACGCUGAGGUUCGAAAGCGUGGGUAGCAAACAGG
This 429-nucleotide ribosomal RNA is filed under the name Bacteroidota bacterium. RNAcentral describes it as "Bacteroidetes bacterium partial 16S ribosomal RNA". It matches the Rfam family "Bacterial small subunit ribosomal RNA", at positions 355 to 776 of the family's 1533-position model. The record is from RNAcentral. Lineage: Bacteria; Pseudomonadati; Bacteroidota.